Molecule: ribosomal RNA, 156 nt
Filed under: Sorghum bicolor (sorghum)
Lineage: Eukaryota; Viridiplantae; Streptophyta; Magnoliopsida; Poales; Poaceae
Description: rRNA 5_8S_rRNA
Rfam family: 5.8S ribosomal RNA
About the family: 5.8S ribosomal RNA (5.8S rRNA) is a component of the large subunit of the eukaryotic ribosome.
Source: RNAcentral
GACUCUCGGCAACGGAUAUCUCGGCUCUCGCAUCGAUGAAGAACGUAGCAAAAUGCGAUACCUGGUGUGAAUUGCAGAAUCCCGCGAACCAUCGAGUUUUUGAACGCAAGUUGUGCCCGAGGCCUUCCGGCCGAGGGCACGUCUGCCUGGGCGUCA